RNAcentral lists this ribosomal RNA (310 nucleotides) under uncultured bacterium. RNAcentral's name for it is "bacterial SSU rRNA". It matches the Rfam family "Bacterial small subunit ribosomal RNA", at positions 51 to 353 of the family's 1533-position model. The record is from RNAcentral.
ACACAUGCAAGUCGAGGGGAAACGAUGGGAGGGCUUGCCCUCCCAGGCGUCGACCGGCGCACGGGUGAGUAACACGUAUCCAACCUGCCCUCUUCCGGGGAACAACCUUGCGAAAGUAAGACUAAUGCCCCAUGUGUCCUCAGACGGCAUCAGACGAGGACGAAAGAUUUAUCGGAAGUGGAUGGGGAUGCGCCUGAUUAGGCAGUUGGCGGGGCAACGGCCCACCAAGCCGACGAUCAGUAGGGGUUCUGAGAGGAAGGUCCCCCACAUUGGAACUGAGACACGGUCCAAACUCCUACGGGAGGCAGCA